UGCCACAGCAUGCAUCACCAGGACUCGAAAAUCACCAACUGCCAGGGAAUGAAGGGGGCCUGGAGACUACCUCCUGCCAGUCUAGCAUCUGCCUGAAGAAGAGACAAGAGGACAGUGAUCAUUUGGGUCUCUUGUGAUCCAAGAUGGUCUCAGACUAAUUACUUCUCCAAUAAUAACUUUGAACUCUUGACCUGCCUGCCUCCAAGUGCUGGGAUUAUAGGUGGGUACUGUAUUUGUUUGAAUAGAUAUGGCCCCAUAGAUAUAUGUGUUUUAGUGCUUGGCUCACAGGAAGUGCACGUUAGGAGAUGUGACCUUAAGUGCACGUUAGGAGAUGUGACCUUACUAGAGUUAAGUGUGGACUUGCUGAAGGAAAUGUGUCACUAUGGAGGUGGGCUUUGAGGUCUCCUAAAUUCAAGCUACACCCAGCAUGGAAUCAGAGCCUCCUCCUUGAUUAAAUCUCCAAAACUGUAAACCAGUCCGAAUUACAUAUUUUCCUUUAUAAGAGUUGUCUUGGUCAUGGUAUCUCUUUGCAGCAAUAGAACCAUAACUAACACAUCUGACCUGAGAAAAGGUUAUCACAAAUAUUGGCCUAAAUAAUUUUUUAAAUUCCAAAGGGCUAUUUGUAAAGAUAUAUGUGUAUUGUAUAUGUACAUGUAUAUAUAUAUACAUAUAUGUAUAUAUAUUUAUAUCACCCAAUUACUGACAUCUAAGAACUUUUAAUAGUGUCUGAGAAUGUUAUUUAUCUGAAUGUUAUUGUAGUCAUAAACAUAUAUUUAAAUAACUUUUAUGAAAAUAAAGUUGAAAUAAUUGGUAGUGUUUUCAAUAAGGGAUUAUAAACUCCUUAGCAUGAAAAAAUGUGGGUGUGCUGGCUGACAAUUUGUAUGAAGGCAAACACUGACACAAGCAGAAUGUGAAGUUAACAUUUAGUCACUCAGAAUAUUUCUGUAAUACAAUUAUUUGAAACCUGAAAUUUAUGGUUAAAAGUAACCUAUUGAGUCCUUCCUGUUCAACUUUAAAUAAAAACUAGAUAAAUGAAUAAAUAAAUAAAUAAAUAAAUAAAUAAAUCUGAAAUCAACAAAAUGUGAAGUAGUAGCCCCUUAGUAAAACCGGCACAUGGCAUAAAACAGACCCAUUAAAAAAUGGCCUCUAUAUAGAUUAUCUAAAAAUCAGAAUUCUUAGAUAAAUACUUCUGCUUUCCUGUGAUACAUAGGAAAGAACAUUUCAAACACGUUGUUAUACUUCUAUGCCUUCUUUAAAAUCUGAGUAAAAAAUUUUUAAUGAUAUGCUGCAACAGAAAAUACAAUUUUCAAACACAGAUGAAUGCUUCUUGUCUCCUUCUCCUCCUCUUGCCCCUUCUCGUCCUCCCCUUCCCCCUCCUGCUCUUCUUCCUCCUCCUCUCACUAUGUAGCCCAUGCUAGCCUGCAACUUGUAGCCCAUUUGAUUCAAUUUGCCGAGUGCUGGGAUUACAGGCAUGAACCACCACAGCAUUCCUAUUUUUUUUCAAAGUUCAGCUUCUAAGUUUUAUUUUGAAUUCUUGAAAGGAAAAAUUACAAAACUGAAACUCUACAUAGUAAUUUCUGUUGUAUUUUAUAAACAUGAGUUAAUCAUGAUAUCAGAGGCCAGAGGGUCUAAAGGAGUUAUUGAAGCCAGUAUGACAUCACAAUCUUUGGGAAGGUUUUGACUCUGACUCUGUUCCAAAGUAGAUACUUGCUAAAUUAGUGAAUCUAUUCAUUGGCCUUGUUUAUCUGUUACCAUUUUUAAGUUUGUUGGCUAUCUUCUUGAAAAGACUAACUUCAUCUUUCAUCUCUACAGGCACCCCAUGCACAUAUCUGCAUGAACACAUAUGCACACACACACAUAAGCAUACACACAAAGAAAAGUAAAAUCAUUGUUAAAAGCCAUUGUGUAUGUUCAACCCCAGAUACUUUCUGCAUUUUCUUCAAGUUGCUUUGAUUGAGGUUAUGUAUUUGGAUUCACUGCUGCUGAGAGCAAAUGGUUUAGUUGUUCAGGGUUCAUGAGAUAUUACCAGCUGUGACAUUCAUUCUAUGGCAAAGUGAAGCAAAGCUCUUUCCAAAGCCAUUUUGGCUGAAUUGACAUCUGUCCUUGGCAUCUGCUAGUUGUAUGCCUUUAUAGAAGUUACGUAAUUUCUCUAAGUCUCCAGUUGUUCAUUUGUGAAUAACAAUAGGGACCAUUCCUAGGAGAACUGCAAGAGUUUUAAACCCACUGAAGGUUCUCAGUGAGAUGCCUGCCUGGAACAUUCUAUAGAAGAGACAAAUGUCAGCCAUCAUGUUACUUCUAAAGAGGCAAAGGGAACAAUAACGCUUAUUUUUUGGUAGUGAUUUUGGAGAGGUAUGAAAUAAGAAAUUACUUGGCAUUUCUGAAUUUUGAAUUAAAAAUCCUUAAUCUUUAGAGGAUGAAACACUGGCUCUUUUAAGACUGCUGUAGAGUUUCCACAAAGCAAAUACUAGAAUGUAACACUGUGCCUAAUGGUAAAACAGUGCAUUGUAGAUUUGGUAGCAUAGUGCAUAGUAGGAGAUUCUAUAAUCCUUGUUGCCAUAAUGAUCCAAUUUAUUUCCUGUUCACUUUUAGCUGGACACAUGGAUGUUAUCCAUGGUCAUCUAGGACAGUAGUGUGGAGAAGACCAAGUUUCUGGUCAGUACAUACCCUUUAAAGCUUCUCUGAAGCUCCUUUAUUCCUUCCAGAAUAGCAACUCAAGUAUAGUUGAUGUUCUUCUCACAGUCUAGUACAGUUUUGGAAAGAAACGAAUAAAAAGAACUAAUUCCAUUUUGCAUGUGAUUUUUCACACUAAAUUUAACAGUGACUGAUAACUCAUGAAACCAAGAUAGUGCUGUCAUGUCCUACGUUUGUGGAGGUGAGUUGCAGAGCUUUCUCAUAGACUCUCAUGUUUCACCACAACCUUGAAACUGAUCAAACUGGCUCGGGUAAUAAGGAAUUAGGUUCAAGGGGAUUGCUCCAUGGAGGGUACCAAGAGUAAUAAAAUCAGUAGGGCAUGCAGAGAACAAGCAAAUAAUUAGAAUGCUGUCCUUCCAAGAUCUCAGUUGAUGUAGAGAACGACUGGCCUGUAUGAUUUUUGCAUCCAGCAUAACUUUUAGAAAAUGUAUUCCCUUGACCAUAAUAUCAUACAUUAAAAAAAAAAAUCUAGGAAGUGCCAUACAUCCAUUCAAAACUAUUUGAAAAUGGAAAUUUUAUUUACUCGAGAACCGUGGCCUCUUUCUGUGACCUCGAUUUUCUAAACUUAAUCUUUGUGCAUUAUAGUCUCAUUAAUGUGAACACUACCUAUGAAAGGAAAAUGCCAGCAAGUAAAUACCUGGUCUCCCAGUACAAGACCAGCAGCGUCCCAGUCUACAAGCAGAAAGCACCAACACCGAACUUGGAAUGGACAUCUUUAUACUUAGACAUAAGGAUGAGGCAGUACAAGCUUCUGGAGUGUGACCCAUCUCAGUCCAGUGGUGACGCAUGGUUUGGAGAGCAAGAACGAGUGUUGUGUGGUGACAGUGGCUUUUUCUAGACUUGGGACUAUGGAGAGAUGCCUUCCAUAUAUAAUUUUCUAUCUGCAUAUAGUGACCCUAAAACAGUAAGGACUAAAAAUCUUUCCUCCACUUUGGUAGUUUCCUGCAGUUAUUGACUUCACCCUUGUCUACAGCACAGAACAGAAGUACUCAGCUUCAGGGGCAGAAGUAUGAAGUGUUGGUUAAGGCAACUUUUAGUUUGCCCUUGGUAUUUAAAGUGGACCUCAAGUUUCAACCACCAAGAAGGAAAGAAAGUACAAACAUAAUAAGAAUAUUUUAUUUUCUGGAAAGUCCUAACAAAGCUCAGUUCUUUAAUAGAAACUCAACCAAAUGAAAAGUACAACUAUCUCCAAGGGAUAAAGAAAUUUCAAGAACCUGAUGGAUGGUUUAAAAUAGAGCACAUCUUCCCAGUGGACAAGCUGACCCAAAUCUUGGUGAUUCAAAUUCAUGGAGAACUACAAAGUAAACCCAAGAAGCCUACGAAAUACUCUUUAAGACAAGGUUUCUUUCAGUGUUACUUAUCCAUCCAUAAAACAUACAUAUAAUUAUAAGUAUAAAUACAUUAAUAUUUUAAAGGUGAAGAGAGUGCUUUAAAUACACUGGUUGUCUUUGGCAGUGCUUUCUCAGUUAAGAGGUACUGAGAGAUAUAUGUUUUAUGGCAAAAAAAUGUUUUUAAUGGAAAAGUACUGGAGUCUAGAACAAAGAAUAUUCCAUUAUUUUUUUUAAAAAUCAUUUAAUUAUUUAUCUUAGGUGUGUGGGUAUUUUGCCUGUGUAUAUGCUCAUGUAUUAUAUGUGUGAGUUACAGAAGGUUUGUGAGCCACUACAUGGAUGCUGAGAAUCAAACCUAGUUCCUCCGGAAAUUCAGCCAAUACUCUAAGCCAUUAAGCCAUCUCUCCAGCCCUAGAAAGUCCCAUUCUUGAUUCUACUAAUAAGCCUUUUCUGAAGUGGAAAGACACACUGUUAUAUUUCAUCAAUAUUUGAAUUUCAAUAAGGUUUUAAUUAUUCCUCAUUGGUAUGACUAUACAACUUACACAACUUUAUGAGAUAAAGAUCCUAAAAGAAAAAUAGACUAAUUAGAGUAUUUCAAUCAAAGACAAAUGCCCUUUGCUGUCACAAGAACACCAUCAUCUCUUCUGAUCUCUGCAGAAAGGUUAGGGUCCUAGGAUUCUUUUCUGUAUUCAGUUUGAAUGUCAGGAGGUAGACUGAAGUAUUGUAAGACUGUUCAAACUAAUGUCCAAAUAGUUUCAGCAAAGCACACUGUUCUCACUAAUCUACGUUAGGAAGGAAAAAACUAUGUUUUGAAGUUUAUUCUAGAAGAAAGCUGGGGAAAAUAGUUGAAAACAAACCUCUAAAGCUCAGGAUGGUAUGUGGAAGAUGGAAUGGAGUCCUGGCCCCUGAACUCAUGACAGGUGUAUCAUGGAGCAUGGACAGCAGGCUCAAACAAACUGUAGUGGUAGCAGGCACCACAGGUAGAGGAAGCAUUGACUUUGGUUUAAGUGGAGUGUCUAUAGAAAGAACUCACAGGCUGUAUCAGCCACAUAGAUGCUGGAGAUGAUUGCUACUUGUUCUUAUGAGCAAUGAGUUAUUUUAUACCUCUCUAGAUUUUGUAUGUCUCUGUUUGCAAAAGAAGAACGUUUUUUUGUUAUUUAUUUGUUGGAGUUUCUUUGCACUAACACUUUUCAGACCUUGGAAAGUCAGUGAGAUCAUUUGCUAAGAUGUUUGAAUUCAAACAAAAAAUAUUCAAUCCUUUUUAAGAGGAGUGUUUUGACAUGGACUAAAUAGUCAUUGAAGUUGCUUAUAAAACAGUCAUUCACAAAGCAAGGUUUAAGAACAAUAGUUAAUGUUCUACAAAGGAAAAAUUAGCAACAAAUAAAUGAAUAGUAUUCUAUGAAAAUGAAAAAUUAGCAUACAAAGUGGAAUACUAUUUAGCACUAAAUAAAAAUAGAGUUAAAUUUUUUCCAAAAAAAUGGAUAGACUUCAAGUGCAUAAGAUUAAGUGAGGUCACAAUUCUCCCAAAAUGAAAAAAUAAAAAAAAACCCUGCAUAUUCUCUUUCAUAUGCUGAAUGAAUCUAGCUAGCAAUAUAGGUAAGUAUAUAAACAAAUAUACCCAUGGAUACAGAAGAACAGGAAGAAAAAGACAAUAAAGGCUAAAUAUUAGAGGAUGAAGAAAGAUAGAAUAAGGUAAUGAACAUGAACUAUGAAAGAGGUAUGCUUUCUUGGUGGUUUAAGAUAACAAUAAUGGAAUAUUGUAUUUUUAUUACCAAAACGUCUUACUUACUUGUAGAUCAUUGGUCUCAGAAUACCAAUAUGGCAGAUAAUUUAGCCUGAGUAAGCAUAUGAGCUAAGUGGAAUCUUUGGGUUCUGAUCAAACAAGAAAAUGAUAAUAAAAUUAAGUAUGAAUAUUUCUAUUUUUAGAACUUUUCCUCUAAUCUCUUUGUGAGAAAAAGCAGAUUAAUAAGAAAGUAAAAUUUGACUUAAGUGAUAUAUACUUAUCCUCUUACUUUCUGGGGAAAAAGUAUGUGGAUUUUUUUUUAUUAAGAACCAGCUGAUAUAUUUCAAACUUAAGUGUAUUAUGUUGCAAAAAUGAGCAAUCAUUUUAUACAAGGGCAUAGCAAUAUUUUGCAUAGCUUCUUUUGUUUUACCUGGUAAUGAAGAAAGGGUUGGUUUAAAUAGGACUAAACUUCUAGGCUUUGUGAAAACAGAAUGUUGAAAACUAAUUCCUGUCCAUUUGACUUAAUAGUCAUGGACCAUGUAAAGCCCGAGUAGGUGUUCUGCAAUGCUGUUCAGUUGAACAGCAUAUUCUUAUGGUCCCUAGAGAUGAAUCCCUGUCAUCUCAAAGGGUUCCCAGCAGCCACUGUUGAAGAAAAUGGGAAGGCUUACAAAGGAAGAUGCCAUCUUUAGCUAGAUAAUUACCUGAGGCAUCUCACAGGGUCUUCAUGUUUCAAAAUCCUCCAAUUCACUAUGAUCAUCAUAAACAAAAAUAAAUGAACGUAUAUUUUUUUUUUUGCUGUGGUGAUUAGGAAAACAGAUUUGAUUCACUUUCUAAGCACUUGACAUUAUCAACCACUUAGAAUGUUACGUGACAAAUCAAAGCACCAGGCACACACGAACCUAUGCUGACUGCUCCGUUAUUACGGACUUGCUGGGUAUUGCUGACAUUAACACUGAUGAUCGUGCCACAUUUGUUUUAUGGACACAGCGAGUCCUUCUGGAUGAUGACAUUUUGUAAUUCAAACAAUGACUCAGGGAAAAUGAAGUUUUCAUUUGCUAAAGUGCCGCAGGAUUGGAUUCAGAAACAUCUUGCUGUGUUGAAAUGGAUGCUAUUUGAACAGCAACACAAAAGCUCUCGUGAACAUUAAAAACAUCCAAGGAGGUUUUACUCCUGUCAUCUAAUUGGGAAAACAGAAGCAAACAAAUAAAAUAGUGUUCCUGGGACCUAUUCCACUGCUACAUCCUAUUACACAAGCAAGUGUGAUGUAAAACAAAGCCGUCAUCACCACACCAGAUUAUGGAACAAAUAAAGCCAAGUUUCUCAAGAUGGCAUCCAACAAAGCAUUACAAAUAAGGCUCAUUUUACUCAUAACUUAAAAAUACUUAUAGACCAUUUAUGUGCCUUGAUUUAUGCUCACCUAAAAGAACAAUAGUGACUUUUUAAAAAUUUAUGCUAAAACUUUAUCCCAAGAUUCACUGAUACUUUAAGCUUUAAAAAAUUUAUCAUUUUCUAUGUAUGGGUAUUUUGCCUCUAUGUGUACCUGUGAAUAACUUGGAUGCCUUUUGCCAGGAGAAGCUAUGGAUCUCUGGAACAGGAAUAAAAGAUGGUUGUGAAGCAUCAUGUGUGGACUGGACACCAAAGCAAGGUCCUCUGGAAGAGCAGCUACUGCUCUAAUCUGCUGAGGGUCUGUCCAGCUCCACACAGUUCUUGUAAGUCAAGUUGAAACCAAUGUGGUUCACAGAGAAUUCAACCUGAGCCUGAACUCUGCUCUUCUGUGUAUUCAAUUAUUAUGUUAAAAGUAAGUCUUAAGAAGUCAUUUACCACUAAUAAUUUUUCCCGUGUUGUUUUUCCUUUGGGGGUUCUUUAAAUGGGAGUUUAAAGAAGAUGGUGAGUGGAUGGUCAGUUUCAACAAGCCAGUGGCUAAAAUAUUUAGUAAUUUAUUGCCAGCAAAACUGAGGAAGGUUGUUAGUCUGGGGUGUCGAUGUGUACAGCUCUGGUGUACAGGUGAGUUUUCCAAAGACCCACUCAUUGCAAUGGUUUACUUUGAAUUUCUUCCCACUAACACUUUAUUUGGAACUUUGAAGGUCAAACCAAGACCACGUUCAUAGAGAAAACAACUUCACCUUUGUGAUACACUCCUGUGAGAAAAUGUUUGACUCGAAAUCACACAGAGUUCGAUUGUAAGAGUUUGUCAUAAAUCUAUGUACAUUUCUUAAUAUUUACAACACGGAAACACUAAGUGCAUCCAACUGGUGACAUGCAAAGAUUGAAGAUUAAAAAAAAAAAACCCUCUACAGAGUAAAAUAAGUAUAUACUACAGAUUCUCCAGUUUGACCGUCUGUGGUUAUAGAGCUGGGUUCUUUUUAUUGCAGACCAUAACAGGGCAAAACUGCAGCAUUCAACUACUGACAAGUAAAUGUGGAAACAGGUCAUAAAUUACCUCAUUGAAGUAUCUGUUUUACACUAGGCAAAUUUUAAGUAAACAUAUAUUCUCUACGUCCAGUAUCUGUAAUGAAAAUUCCUGCUUGAACCAUCGUGGCUUCUAUGUUCAACAGUUUGUAGAAGAUUGUUUUUCCACACCAGCAGAAUUUACAUAAUUUUUACUUCCUCAUUUCUUAAAAGCACGCCUUUAUAAUCCGAUCUACAGAAUUAUCACUGUACCGUGUUAACAUUGAGAAAUCACCUAGAAAGCAUCUUGUUUUGUAACUGGUCGCAUGGGCGUAGGCUGGCGUGUUAUUAGCCAGCUGGUUCAGAAACCGAUAGCCUCCGAAUCUGUAACAAUCUGAGACUUGGGGCUGAAAGGCCCUAUUAUGCUAUUGCCACGGACAUAAGGUUACUGUAAAUACUGCAGAAACCUAGGCCUGAAAGAAUCUAUUAAGUUAACAUUAUGCAUUCUUGGGGUUCUGAGGUCUCUGAAACCCAUCCACCAUUCAGUCCCAAAUGACGUUUACAAAUACCACAGAGCUCAACCUUCAGGCAUCUCCGGUUCAUUUUUUUUUUCCUGCCCCUCCUGUCCCCUCUUCCUGUCUCACCAUCUUUAUCUAGCCUCUGUAAUUGAUCCUGACUGGCUGACUAUCAUUUUAAAAAAAUAGUGCUAAAAGUAUUUAUACACAGUCACUUUGCAAUUAAUGGGAAAUUGCUUUCAAGGGCUAUUUGACAAUCCUUUCUGGUGGGGGAAAGCCUGCUAUGUGUCUAAUGGAGUUUCCCCCAGUAUCCUUUGUUAGUGGUGGGUGGCAAAUGGAUUGAAAAGGAAGACAGGCUGUGUAAUGGAUUGUGGCUCCAAAGACUGAUGGGAGGAAUAGUUAAGGAAAACAGAGGUUGUCAUGAAAGGAGAGGAUGACCCAUAGACCAAGGUCAUAGAUACCACCUUUCACUUGAUCGCCAUGCACGGAGGAUGUGAAAUACUGUGUGUUUACUAUUUAUUUUAAUACCAGAGGGUACAUAAAUUAUGCAUUGAAAUAUAAUCAUGUUCUCUCUGUGCCUUUGGAAAAAUAAUAAAAUAAAGCUCUCUCUUUCUCUUUCCCUCCGCCCCCAUUUAUACACGUUUCAAAAACCUUAUGUAAUGAAGUGAGUGGUGAGUUUAAGGGAGAGACCUGAAUGGAGCAUUUGUUUUGAAGGCAUAUUUGCUCUGUAUCAUGGCUCCUGCACUCGCUGUUCAUCUGACCCUCCAGGAAGCAUUUUCAUACAGUUUGAACCUGGAGAUGUUUUGUCUUUGGUCAGAAGCCUAUUGAUGAGCAGUUUCAGUGAUCAGUACAACAGCAUGGGAUUGUCCUUGUCCUGGGGAAGAAAACCAUUUGUGAAGAUAGACGAGUCAGAUAAGAAAAAAAAUAGCACAUUUGGCUGUAGUCACACACUGAUGUCUGACAUUUAUUUCUCUGAUUGAUUUUCUCUCGUUCCCCUUCCUGAUUUUAUCUCUUUCACCUUUUCUCUUUCUUCUGGAAAUAUUUAUUGAUUAUUUCCUAUGUACUGGUGGGGAAAAAGAAUGUAACCGCGCCUGCCAAGAAGGGGCAUUAGGUUGAAUAAAAGAGUGACAUUAGUCAAAUGGUCACAUUACUGGAUGCGUCACGGAAUAGGAAGAUAAAUGCUAUGAGCAAAAAGGAAUGCAGCCCUGUAAGAGAGUUAAACAAACUGAGGGAUUCAAUUCUGAUCAAUUGUGCUGAUGGCUUGACAUCUUGCAAUCAGGGAAGCUUGGGUGGGGAGGGACCAUGUGUUCUGGAAUCUGAAGAAUGCAAAUUAACUACAGGGAAGUAAUCUGGAGGAGGGGACUGGCAAGCUCAAGACUCGCAGUCAAGGGUUUAUAUGAACAAGUAUGGCAAGACAGCAGAGCGCUAAAGGGCAGUCGGUUUAAGAGAAUUUGGAUAAGUAGGGGCUGCACUGGGCAAGGAAAUUACUAAGGGUUUUUAACUAGUGUAAAAAGAUUGUCUUUUCAUUUUUAAAGAGCUACUAAGACCACAGUAUGAAUCAUAGGCAAGAAGAAAACAAAAUAAUAAUUGCAAGGAGUCUAAAUCAGGAGGGCAUUUCAGAGUCUAGGCUGAAGAUGGUGGAUUUUUAUACAAAAAGCACUAGAAAUAAAUUAGAAAAAUGGGGACACUAUGACAGGCACUCUUGGUGCACUUCCAGCUAGACAACCUGUAGCUGUGGCUCCCCUCCAGGCAGCUGGAAAUUACAGUAAGGAGAACGGCUUCCUGUUACUGUGACCAUGCAAGUCAUCUUGUCCAAGGUCUCAUUUGAGUUAAAACUAUCCAAUCACUUUCUCAGGGAAGCCUUAUUAACAAUUGUCAUUGAAUUGAUCAAGUUAGCCAAGUGAUGUAACAGCUCUUCUAUUUCUUAAAAGUAGUUUGCUAGGCAGAGAGUCCCUGUAUGGCAAUGAGGAAUUUGAUGUCUAAGAUCUGGUACUCUUAAGUACAUGGCAUUAUCAAUAGAGGUUCUCACUGGAGGCAGUUAAACUUCCUGUUGGGGCAUUCUUCAUAUCUGGAGACAUCUGGAUCAUCACAGCUCAGGGGGUGAGAGCUACUGGUCAAUCCUGUGUAGAAGACAGGGAAGUGACUGAACAUGCUAUGGUGAAUGGAGCAGGCCCUCCCAGUGACAAAGAAUGAUCUGACUUCAAGUGUUCAAAGUACCAAGGCUGGGAAACGCUGCCUUUUCAAAACAGGCUGAAAAGAUUUCCAUCUAUCGUGACAUGGCAGACAAAACAAAAUUUUUUACUCAGUCACUGAAAUGAAGUGAAGAUUUAAAAGACAGAAGAAGUUGAUAUACGCUAACAACACGGGUUAUUUGCAAUGUUUUGGAUAUAUAUUUACAAAGUGCAAAAUCAAAUAAAAAUGCUUGG
Long non-coding RNA from Mus musculus (house mouse), 11071 nucleotides. RefSeq annotates it as predicted gene, 30759. The transcript has 2 exons. Lineage: Eukaryota; Metazoa; Chordata; Mammalia; Rodentia; Muridae. The record is from RefSeq and is a predicted model, not a curated record.